RNAcentral lists this ribosomal RNA (2928 nucleotides) under Proteus mirabilis. Its description in RNAcentral is "bacterial LSU rRNA". It matches the Rfam family "Bacterial large subunit ribosomal RNA". The record is from RNAcentral. Lineage: Bacteria; Pseudomonadati; Pseudomonadota; Gammaproteobacteria; Enterobacterales; Morganellaceae.
GGGUUGUGAGGUUAAGCGAAUAAGCGUACACGGUGGAUGCCUAGGCAAUCAGAGGCGAUGAAGGACGUGCUAAUCUGCGAAAAGCGUCGGUAAGGUGAUAUGAACCGUUAUACCCGACGAUAUCCGAAUGGGGAAACCCAGUAUCCAAUGGAUACUAUCAUUAACUGAAUCCAUAGGUUAAUGAGGCGAACCGGGAGAACUGAAACAUCUCAGUACCCCGAGGAAAAGAAAUCAACCGAGAUUCCCCUAGUAGCGGCGAGCGAACGGGGAGCAGCCCAGAGUCUUAAUCAAUAGCAGUGUCAGGAGAACGGUCUGGAAAGUCCGGCAGUAAAGGGUGAUAGCCCCGUAUCUGAAGAUGCUGUUAUUGUGAACUCGACGAGUAGGGCGGGACACGUGUUAUCCUGUCUGAAUAUGGGGGGACCAUCCUCCAAGGCUAAAUACUCCUGAUUGACCGAUAGUGAACCAGUACCGUGAGGGAAAGGCGAAAAGAACCCCGGCGAGGGGAGUGAAAAAGAACCUGAAACCGUGUACGUACAAGCAGUAGGAGCCCAUGGGGUGACUGCGUACCUUUUGUAUAAUGGGUCAGCGACUUAUAUUCUGUAGCAAGGUUAACCGUAUAGGGGAGCCGUAGGGAAACCGAGUCUUAACUGGGCGAAUGAGUUGCAGGGUAUAGACCCGAAACCCGGUGAUCUAUCCAUGGGCAGGUUGAAGGUUGGGUAACACUAACUGGAGGACCGAACCGACUAAUGUUGAAAAAUUAGCGGAUGACUUGUGGAUGGGGGUGAAAGGCCAAUCAAACCGGGAGAUAGCUGGUUCUCCCCGAAAGCUAUUUAGGUAGCGCCUCGUGAACUCAUCUUCGGGGGUAGAGCACUGUUUCGACUAGGGGGUCAUCCCGACUUACCAACUCGAUGCAAACUGCGAAUACCGAAGAAUGUUAUCACGGGAGACACACGGCGGGUGCUAACGUCCGUCGUGAAGAGGGAAACAACCCAGACCGCCAGCUAAGGUCCCAAAGUCAUGGUUAAGUGGGAAACGAAGUGGGAAGGCUCAGACAGCCAGGAUGUUGGCUUAGAAGCAGCCAUCAUUUAAAGAAAGCGUAAUAGCUCACUGGUCGAGUCGGCCCGCGCGGAAGAUGUAACGGGGCUAAACCAUGCACCGAAGCUGCGGCAGCGAACUAUGUGGUUGUUGGGUAGGGGAGCGUUCUGUAAGCCUGCGAAGGUGUACUGUGAGGUAUGCUGGAGGUAUCAGAAGUGCGAAUGCUGACAUAAGUAACGAUAAUGCGGGUGAAAAACCCGCACGCCGGAAGACCAAGGGUUCCUGUCCAACGUUAAUCGGGGCAGGGUGAGUCGACCCCUAAGGCGAGGCUGAAAAGCGUAGUCGAUGGGAAACGGGUUAAUAUUCCCGUACUGGUGGUAACUGCGAUGGGGGAACGGAGAAGGCUAGGUUGUCCGGGCGACGGUCGUCCCGGUUCAAGCAGGUAGGCAGAGUGAUUAGGCAAAUCCGGUCACUUAAUGCUGAGAUGUGAUGACGAACCACCAAGGUGGUGAAGCAAUUGAUGCCCCGCUUCCAGGAAAAGCCUCUAAGCUUCAGGUUACCAACAAUCGUACCCCAAACCGACACAGGUGGUCAGGUAGAGAAUACUCAGGCGCUUGAGAGAACUCGGGUGAAGGAACUAGGCAAAAUGGUGCCGUAACUUCGGGAGAAGGCACGCUGGCGGUAGGUAAAGUCCCUCGCGGACGGCGCUGAAGCCAGUCGAAGAUACCAGCUGGCUGCAACUGUUUAUUAAAAACACAGCACUGUGCAAACACGAAAGUGGACGUAUACGGUGUGACGCCUGCCCGGUGCUGGAAGGUUAAUUGAUGGGGUCAGCCGUAAGGCGAAGCUCCUGAUCGAAGCCCCAGUAAACGGCGGCCGUAACUAUAACGGUCCUAAGGUAGCGAAAUUCCUUGUCGGGUAAGUUCCGACCUGCACGAAUGGCGUAAUGAUGGCCAGGCUGUCUCCACCCGAGACUCAGUGAAAUUGAACUCGCUGUGAAGAUGCAGUGUACCCGCGGCAAGACGGAAAGACCCCGUGAACCUUUACUAUAGCUUGACACUGAACAUUGAGCCUUGAUGUGUAGGAUAGGUGGGAGGCUUUGAAGUGUGGACGCCAGUCUGCAUGGAGCCAACCUUGAAAUACCACCCUUUAACGUUUGAUGUUCUAACCUAGGCCCAUAAACUGGGUCGGGGACCGUGUCUGGUGGGUAGUUUGACUGGGGCGGUCUCCUCCUAAAGAGUAACGGAGGAGCACGAAGGUUGGCUAAGCAUGGUCGGACAUCAUGCGGUUAGUGCAAAGGCAUAAGCCAGCUUGACUGCGAGAGUGACGGCUCGAGCAGGUACGAAAGUAGGUCUUAGUGAUCCGGUGGUUCUGAAUGGAAGGGCCAUCGCUCAACGGAUAAAAGGUACUCCGGGGAUAACAGGCUGAUACCGCCCAAGAGUUCAUAUCGACGGCGGUGUUUGGCACCUCGAUGUCGGCUCAUCACAUCCUGGGGCUGAAGUAGGUCCCAAGGGUAUGGCUGUUCGCCAUUUAAAGUGGUACGCGAGCUGGGUUUAGAACGUCGUGAGACAGUUCGGUCCCUAUCUGCCGUGGGCGUUGGAAGAUUGAGAGGGGUUGCUCCUAGUACGAGAGGACCGGAGUGAACGCACCACUGGUGUUCGGGUUGUCAUGCCAAUGGCAUUGCCCGGUAGCUAAGUGCGGAAGAGAUAACCGCUGAAAGCAUCUAAGCGGGAAACUUGCCUCGAGAUGAGUCUUCCCUGUCACUUUAAGUGACCUAAAGGAACGUUUAAGACUAAGACGUUGAUAGGCUGGGUGUGUAAGCGUAGCGAUACGUUGAGCUAACCAGUACUAAUGAACCGUGAGGCUUAACCUGACAACACCGAAAGUGUUUUG